Molecule: ribosomal RNA, 497 nt
Filed under: uncultured bacterium
Lineage: Bacteria
Description: partial 16S ribosomal RNA
Rfam family: Bacterial small subunit ribosomal RNA
Source: RNAcentral
GAUGAACGCUGGCGGCGUGCCUAAUACAUGCAAGUCGAGCGAACAGACGAGGAGCUUGCUCCUCUGACGUUAGCGGCGGACGGGUGAGUAACACGUGGAUAACCUACCUAUAAGACUGGGAUAACUUCGGGAAACCGGAGCUAAUACCGGAUAAUAUAUUGAACCGCAUGGUUCAAUAGUGAAAGACGGUUUUGCUGUCACUUAUAGAUGGAUCCGCGCCGCAUUAGCUAGUUGGUAAGGUAACGGCUUACCAAGGCAACGAUGCGUAGCCGACCUGAGAGGGUGGUCGGCCACACGGGAACUGGGACACGGUCCAGACGACUGAGGGAGGCAGCAGUAGGGAAUCUUCCGCAAUGGGCGAAAGCCUGACGGAGCAACGCCGCGUGAGUGAUGAAGGUCUUCGGAUCGUAAAACUCUGUUAUUAGGGAAGAACAAAUGUGUAAGUAACUAUGCACGUCUUGACGGUACCUAAUCAGAAAGCAACGGCUAACUACGUG